RNAcentral lists this ribosomal RNA (423 nucleotides) under uncultured bacterium. RNAcentral's name for it is "bacterial SSU rRNA". It matches the Rfam family "Bacterial small subunit ribosomal RNA", at positions 358 to 773 of the family's 1533-position model. The record is from RNAcentral.
GGAAUAUUGGACAAUGGGCGAAAGCCUGAUCCAGCCAUGCCGCGUGUGUGAAGAAGGUCUUCGGAUUGUAAAGCACUUUAAGUUGGGGGGAAGGGUUGUAGAUUAAUACUCUGCAAUUUUGACGUUACCGACAGAAUAAGCACCGGCUAACUCUGUGCCAGCCGCCGCGGUAAUACAGAGGGUGCAAGCGUUAAUCGGAAUUACUGGGCGUAAAGCGCGCGUAGGUGGUUUGUUAAGUUGGAUGUGAAAUCCCCGGGCUCAACCUGGGAACUGCAUUCAAAACUGACAAGCUAGAGUAUGGUAGAGGGUGGUGGAAUUUCCUGUGUAGCGGUGAAAUGCGUAGAUAUCGGAAGGAACACCAGUGGCGAAGGCGACUUCCUGGGCCAAUACUGACGCUGAGGUGCGAAAGCGUGGGGAGCAAAC